Long non-coding RNA from Gopherus evgoodei (Goodes thornscrub tortoise), 403 nucleotides. RefSeq lists it as uncharacterized. The transcript has 4 exons. Lineage: Eukaryota; Metazoa; Chordata; Testudines; Testudinidae. The record is from RefSeq and is a predicted model, not a curated record.
CUGAGCCUGGUCAGUAUAUGGAUGGCAAGAUACGCAAGGAAAAUAUAUAAUACUGUGCCAAUUGAUGCCGAUAAACAAGUACCAGAUGAAACCAGGAAAUACAGAAUUACAUGAAAAUUAAACCAAAGUGAACAUCCUGCAGCUCUACCAUCAUGUGCGCUGCUUUAUAUUCCUUGCUAACCAGUACUGAUUGCCAAGAUUUUAUGUGAGAAAUGGGCUUGAGAUGGCUUCUACAGUUUGCAAAGCUCAAAAUGAUUCCCCAAAGAAAAGGAUAAACUUGCAAGGAAGAGCCACAGUUCUACAGAAUAUGUUGUUGCAAAUAUCUUUAGCAGCAGUGGCAAGUUGGACUGGAUUACUUGUAACCCUUGUAUGGCUUCAUGGUUUUGGUUGCACUUGUUUUUAA